Molecule: transfer RNA, 53 nt
Filed under: Scrippsiella hangoei
Lineage: Eukaryota; Dinophyceae; Peridiniales; Peridiniaceae
Description: partial Selenocysteine transfer RNA
Source: RNAcentral
GCCUGCUCCUGGCCCUGGACUUCAACCCCGGCGGGGCCCUCAAGUGGCCCGGG